Molecule: ribosomal RNA, 277 nt
Filed under: uncultured bacterium
Lineage: Bacteria
Description: partial 16S ribosomal RNA
Rfam family: Bacterial small subunit ribosomal RNA
Source: RNAcentral
UCUAAGGUUUGAUGGCGACCGGCGCACGGGUGAGUAACACGUAUCCAACCUGCCGAUGACUCGGGGAUAGCCUUUCGAAAGAAAGAUUAAUACCCGAUGGCAUAGUUCUUCCGCAUGGUAGAACUAUUAAAGAAUUUCGGUUAUCGAUGGGGAUGCGUUCCAUUAGGCAGUUGGUGGGGUAAUGGCCCACCAAACCUUCGAUGGAUAGGGGUUCUGAGAGGAAGGUCCCCCACAUUGGAACUGAGACACGGUCCAAACUCCUACGGGAGGCAGCAUG